UUCUGUGACACUUCAUAUACCACCUUUGUGAUCCCAAUUGUUUCCAAAUAAUGCUUUUACAGAGAAAUAUUUGGAAGAGAUUUCCCUGGAAAAAAAGGCAGAUUUUCAGCACACAAGGAAUAAGAGCUGUCCUUUUGUUCACUGGGAGCCAGAAUCAGCAGCUGUUUCUUACAGUAAAUACUGAUGGAGGGAAGGAAAAAAGUGAGGGUUUGAAUGUAGUUGGAAGAAGAAAAUCAUGUGAGAUCCUGGCCAAAAUUUCCUGUCUGCUCCAAGUCAGCUGCUCUUCGGUCAGUGCAGGUCUUACAAAUGCAGCCCAGGUGAGGUGUUCCUUGUGGCCACACUGCCAGUAGACCACAUGCCCCCACCUCAUGCCUUUACUCCAGGACUGAUGGCUGCUGACGUAAUGAUCCACAAGCUGGGAUCAGCACCUCUUCCUUAAAAAUUGAGUUAGUUUUUUUGUGGGUUUACAGUUUAUAUGAAGCUUUCUGAUCAUGGCCCAGAUGUUCUUCUGAGAGUCUUCUACAGUAAUUAAUGCUUGUUCUGCUGAAAGUCACUACUUCCAUUUGUGCACUAUCUUGCAACAUUCUCCCUGGAAAACGCAAAUUAUUUGUAUAUUAUGUUCAUUGCCACAGGGAAGGAAGAAGAACCAUGGAGCAGCUGAUGCAUUCUGGACGCUAUGGAGAGCAUUGAUGUUUUGAUUACAAAAUAGAACUUCACAAGCCAAGGAGGAGCAUGGAGUUGCCUUCCUGCAGCCUCUCUCACGCUCUUGUGUUCUUCCAUCACGCCCGUUAACAACUACACUAGAAACAAGCAGCAGAUUUUUUUCCACUCGAAAAGAUUUUUCAUGUGCUGAAGGGUAAAGUAACAGAAAAUUUGCAGAAUGGCCACAAGAAUCAUACAUAUCCUGGGAGACAUAUCUGUUAGAGAAAUUACUGGAUGAAGACAUUCACACACAUAGAUUGUGGCAAACAGUGGCGGUGACUCUGGCUGCAGAAAACACAGUGACCAUGCUCCUCCUCUCAGCCUUGCAGGCUGCAUACCUCUGCUGGAUCUCAUGCAUCUGUUGAAAGGAGAAACACCGUGACACAGACUGAUGUCAUACAGACUGAUGGGAUGCUUGGGAGGACUGGAGGCUGAAGCAAAACAUGAGGACCUGUGUGGCUGCACAAUGACCUUGGAUCAAGAGCGACACCCCAGGUGACACCCCAACCACUUGCAUGGAGCACAAGAGAAACCGUGAUGAGGAUUGACCCAACAGAGUGUAGUGGCUCCCCUGGAUCUUACAGAGGCCUAUUGAGAUCUAUAGAUCUGUAUUCAAGGACUCCCGAAUAGAUCUCAUGACUGGCCUGACAAACCACGGCUGCUACAAAGGAGACACUGCCAGACACUGUAAAUCUGUUGCAGACCUCGUGUAGCUGAGCGUCGCCUUGCAGGCUGCCCCAUGUGCAAUGCCACACCCAGGAGCUGAAAGUAAACCCAUGGAGUGCUGGAAACCAUAUAAACGAUUGGUAACACAUGCAUAAAAAAGGCAGGCUGAUGAUCUAUGGGAUUUUCUUUGUUGAAGCAACCACAGCCUAAAGCCUGGUCUGUUAAAACAACCCUGCAGGUUUGUCAGUCUUCAAAUGCAGGCUGUAGGCACAGCAGAUAAGGGGAUUUCUGUGUUCUUGUUAGAAAUAUAAAUGAAGUCUUAGAGAAUCAGACUGGUUCUGUGGUUGAAUAUGAAUAGAAGUAAACACACUUUAAAGUAUUUUAUACCUGGUUGCAUGUCAAGGCUAAGCUCCAACUUUUUGUACAGAAUGGCAACAACAUCGGUUCUCUAUCAUUAUAAGAUCUCUGUGCGUUCUGUUCUCUUCUCUGAAACCUCAGUCAUUUUUGAUUGACAGGAAGAUUACCUAAUAAACCUUCCCCACAAACUAAUUAAUCACUGUGAAUACAACACUAAAUUGGCAAGCAUAAAAAAGCAAAUGAGAUGGGUGUUGAAGACCGUUUUCAAAUGACCUUAGUUGAAAGCCAAGUACAGAGUGCUAAAAGCAUCAGUAACGUAAGGCUGCUGGUAAACUUCUUCACUGGGGUAGGUGGCUUCACCCACUGUGAGGGUGGGCUGUGAUGUCAGGACAUGAUCAGAAAGGAGCCCAUCCAAUUGAUGGGACUGAGACACCACCUCUCCAAAUAGAGCUUGGGAGGUGGACCUCCUUUAUAGCUCUUCUGCCCUUUUUUUGCAGCUAUUGAUAGCAAAUACUUCUCACAAAUUGAGUAUUGUUACAGUCAUUAUUAUUGUAAUGCAGAAAUCCCAGUGUGCCCAUAAGCUUUAUUUCACAACCAGAGGGCUCCUCGGCACACGGCCUUGCGAGCGCCUCCUCCCCAGACACAGGUUUCAUCAAGAUAAAGUCAUCACAGUGUGAUAUUCCUGACAAGUGUAUCAAAGUCUGAGACUUAGGUCAACAUGAGAUCUUAGUUCUCCACUUUCUUCUUUAUUUUCUGAUGAUUAAAUACCAUGCAUUGCCUUAUUUAUGGCUCAGGUAUAGGGCACACUAGCAUCACGGCAGGAAAUGCAGUUGCCAACUCUUUCAGCCAGGAGAAAGCUCUCCUGGGUUUGUUCUACUGGGGCUACUCAGAGAGGCCAACACUAGGCUUUGCUUGGGCAGCAGAGCAGGACAUGUGGCCUCUGCCAUGUGGGGAGCAGAGCUUAGAAAUUCAGAAGGAAAUGAAAACAAAACCACGACAGUGAACAAAACCAGUGUGAAGGGUAUGGCGUUUUUGGUGGGGUUUUUUUUUUUCAGCAGAUGUAGGAAUCAAGAGUUGUGUUUCUAUCUGUAAUUACUGACUGCUGAAGCCUGUUUUGGUAUGCUUUCAGCUUAACAUCAGCACCAUGUUUCAGUAACGCAUUACUUUAUCCAUUCACCCUGCAAGUGGAGCAACACAGGCUCUCUCCCCUGCAGUUCCCAAAUGGGUAUCCACAAACCAUCUUAGGGGCUGGCUAACUUUUUGUUCCUGAUCUUUUUCUUCUUUUACUUCUCCUGCACAAACCAAUGGCAGUUACUACCCUGUGCCUAUGGGCAGAUAGGAACAGUGAAUAACUGGAAUCCAGCUGGUGCUUCUGCUUUUCACUUAACGUUUGAAUAGCACUUAAAAUAAUAAUCUAAAAUGUGCGGCCUUUGAACUGCCUUCCCCUCCAGCUUUGUGGGGCUGUACAUGAGCUCAAAGGGAGCCAAGCACAAUGGGCAUUUACCGGGCAAGAAAUCUUCAGUGAGGCUCAAAACAAACUCAGCCUGAGCCAGAUGGCUGGUUUUCUCCAUAGCAUUUGCAUCUUAUUCCCUUCUCCAUCCCACAGGUUCAUGUGCACACUUGGUCCCAUGGCACACUCCUCUGCACAAGCUACAUCUCAUCACCAACCACAACCAUUGCCCUGCACAACAAGGGAUGGCAAUGGCAUGGCUGCUGCUCUCCAGCCGCUGCUCAGCCUCCCACAGCCCCCCCUUCUCUUCCCCUGCCAGCCCCUUCCCCUCCCUGCUUCCAUCCUGACUGCUCAGAGGCAGCAGAGAGAGGGAGAAAGGAAUUAUUUAUUGUAUGCCUGUUGAAAAUGAAAGGCUUUUACAUUUUAAUGAGCACUAAAUAGGAGCGAGGAAAUAUUGUUCAUUAGCUGUAAUCUGUGGAAUUGCUUGAGUGAACUUCCUUUGGAGGCCGCUUUAAACGGUUCACUCAAGUAAAGCAGUUUGUAUGGUAAUUAAGGGAGCAUUUUUCUGUCAACAUCUGUGCCGCUAUUUAUAACGCUGAAGGUAUCUUAUUACUCCACCAGAGAAACAUUAAAGAGGAUGGGCAGAGGGAUGUUGUAUUUUUUUAAAAUAUAUAUAUGUACGUAUGUGUGUGUGUAUAUAUAUAUAUAUAUAUAUAUAUAUAUAUAUAUAUAUAUGCAUAUAACGUUUCUUUCUCUCUUCAAAACCUCUCCCUUUCUCUUGCUUCCUUUUUCCUUUCUUAUUCUCUUCCCGCUACCCCUCAAUUUGCCAAGAAAAACACCCUGUCCAGUGUUUUGUGAUAGUAAGGAUUAUCAUCCUGACAUCUUUCCAUUAAUCAUAGCCUUUGUUCAGCAGCCAGGCAAGGAGACUCAAUCUGCUCAGCAAAAACAAGAGGCCCAUGUCUUUGGAAACCACUCUCAUCUCUCAUCACUCCACAGUACUGGAGAUGCCUUUUGGCUGCAUUAUCAUGGUGUCCCUAGAGGGAUGGCACAACAUGGCUGUAUCCUCAGUGCAUCCCUCUGGGAAGCCUAGCCCAAGCUGCUGUUGCGCUGCAGGAGUGGCGAGCGGUUGCAGGGGGAAAUAACCUUUCUCAUGUUUGGUCUCAUCACAAUGAGGUUGAUACUUCAAUUUUCUGCUGUAAGGCUGCUUGGGAGAAGAGUUUGGGUACUAAAAAUGGACUUAUUUUUCUGCAUACAAAAAUAGAAAUAUGUGUGUUUUCAUUUGAUUGGUGGUUGGACUUGCUGACCUUAAUGGUGUUUUCCAACCUUUAUGAUUCUAUGAUAACACUGACCAUCUCACCCUUGAGCAGCCUGUACCAUACCAGUGCAAUACGGAGCCAUCACCAGGUAUUGUUUUAUUCUACUUAUUCCAUCUUUGUUUUUCCCUGUACUUACAACAAUGAAGUUUGCAUCCUGAAUGCAGUUCUUCACUUAGAAUAUGGCAAAUGUUGUCCUGAAAACUGGUAUCGCUAAGGUGGAGAUGGAUGUCACACAAUGCCUCUGAGACCAGUUGGCUCACAGUGUUUCCUAAGUAGCUAUGAGGCAUCUCCUGUUCUAGUUGUGUUCAAUUCCCACUUUCCCAACCCUAAAGAUCUUUCUGCUUCCUUUCUCAUUAUCUGGAAGCUUUGUUUUUGCCUCUGCUGCUUUCUUUCUUCCUUUAGCCUUCUGAUGUUAAUUUCUUCCUCCCCACAGCUAGACCCAAUCUGGGGAUUUUGCAUGGGUUUUUCCUGGGUGUUCUGCAUACAUACUGAGAAAGCUGUGAAGAAGAGAGAGGACCAUUCAUUCAGUGCUAUGAAGGUUUUACUUGGUGCAAUGGAAAAUAUAAAAAUAAAUAAAUAAAUAAACCUUCCAAUAUACGUGGAAAAAUGCAAGUAGAGCUAAAGCUUGCUAGAGUGCACCAAAAGCACUGCCCUAUAUAAAUUAAAGAUGCUUUGCCAGAGCCAAUAACUUUUAUAGAUUUUUCUUUACCUGUAAUGAAGGAAAAACAUAAAUGACUAUCAUAAAAAGUAAACAUUAGAAAUAGAAAAUCCCUUUUACAGCAUUCAGUCCAUCUUUCUGCUAAUAACAACUUGUUCCCUAUAGUAUAUUUUUCCAGUGAUUCCUCCAGUCUAGUGUUAAACAUUUCUAGUGUUUCUAGGGCCUUGCUGCUCCCUUGAGAGGCAGUCUGAAAGCCUUGUGCAUUUCAAUGUCAGGAAGUUUUUCUCAGCAACUUCAAUUUUCUCUGUCUAUAUUUCUUCCUGUUAGUGUUAGGAUGUCUCUAUAAUUAGUUCUGUUCAUUUGAAUUUUUUUAGUGAUGCUCUUUAGAAGGUAUGUGCAUUGCAAUUCUGUAUCACCAUUUCACAGCUACAAAGCAAGAUUUCCAACUGCGCUUUUUUUUCCUAAAUUGUUAUUGAAUUAAUUUAAUUCAUAGGUAGCAUUUCCUUAUUGUUUGCAUCCUAUUUAUAGCAAGAAAACUUAUGGUAUCACCAGGCUUAACACCACUGCUCUUUUAUUUUGAUGGGUAACCAAAUUGCAAGACCCUGACAUCUGCUAUUUUUGAUAAAGGGCCAAUGCUGGUUUCAGAAACAGAAGUGCUUUCAAAGAGAAAAAAUGCAGACAGAGAUCAAAUAAUGGAAAGCAAAACUUCUAUUAGCAAGUAAUAGAACCCCAAUACAAAAAGGGUGACAUUUUUCAGAAGAAAACAAAUGAGUAAAAGUGUCUAAUAAAUGAGAAACUUAUCUUAUAGAAGAUAGAAUCAUUGGUUUGAAAAGACCACUAAGAUCAUGUAGUCCAUCCAACCACCAACCCAUCCCCACCAUGCCCACUAAUCAUAUCCGUCAGUGCCACAUCUCCACAGUUCUUGAAACACCUUCAGGGUUGAUGACUCCACCACCACCUCCCUGGGCAGCCUGUGCCAGUGCCUCACCACUCUUUCUAAGAAUUUUCCUCCUAAUAUCUAACCUGAACCUCCCCUAGUGCAACUUAAAGCCAUUCCUUCUCACCCUAUUGAUCUUAUUACCUCUCACAAGGUGCAUGGACAACUGUCUGAUAGUAUGAACACUGUCAGGAGCAAAGCAACACAGUGCAUGUCUUUGCUGAAUUGGAAGAAAGCAAAAAAAAAAAAAAAAAAAAAAAAAAGAAAGUACUUAUUAAUCAGGAAGCUGCCAGAAGGCAGUGUUUGAUUAUUGUGUCCAACCUUCUAUGUAUCACAGAAUUUCAGAUUUGCCAUGGAUCUCUUAUGAAUUUGGUUUGACUAAAGCAGAACUUCCUAGAGUUACCCAAUUUUGAUUUAUUUAAUUUCCUUUAGUGUUUAAACUUUUCAAGUAUCUUCAGCUAAGCUUACAGUGCCUGAGGGCAACUCCAGAGGAUAUGUAAAGACCUCCACUUGGUUACUAUUGGCUGUAAUGUUAGAAUUGUCUACCCUGGUGAUAUAGGACUAAAACAGAAGCUUGCCUAGUAAUUGGUUAACUGUACCUUCUGCAAAGCACAUUUUAUUUAUUUUCAUUAAGUAUUGAAUUCAACCUAGUUGUUUAAUACCUUUUAUUUAAGAGGCUUUGCAGUGAGAUAAAAGAAAUACUAGAGAAAAAGCAGGAGAGGAGGAAAAUAACUCUUUACAGUAAUUGCUCACUAUCACUUCAAUUUUAUUAGUGGUGAAAACAAGAAACAACUUUUAAGCAUGUCAGAUACUCCUACCUCUUACUUCUGUUAAGGUAAGUAAACUGUAUUUUAAAAAUAUCUUCCUUCUUAAAUUGUGACAAAAUUAUUUCAGCACUAUAAAGUAUGGUCUCAUAUGGUGUCAUAUAAAAGGCAGCAUCACAGACUGCUCUAGUUCUGCAUCAACAGUGCAUCAUCUCCUUCCAGAUAAAGUCUUACAUGUGAGCUUAUCUUUGGAUAUGAAGUUGAAUGGAAUUUAAGUUCAUGGAGAAUCUUUAAUGCUUUGCUGAGUGAGAAUGCAUUUUAGUAGAUCCUUAAGUACUUUUCUCAAGAGGUUUUACCAUGCAUAAGACUUCUUAAAAGGCCCUUCUGAGUUAAAAAUACCUGAAGUUCUCUCUAAUGAGGAUGUAUAGCAUUCUACUCAAGGUAAUCAAGACUUAUGACAUCACAUAUUUUAAAAUUCUUAUUGGGAAAGACAGAAAAGUCUUACAGUUGAUCAAAUAAGGGAACGUUCGGAUGGAAGAUAGAAACAGAGGAGGAUUGCAGUACAGUAAAAGUGCAUAAGCAUCUCUUAGUGAACUUCUGCAUUUAUAAUUUUCUUUAUCUGUAACGUAUUUAAGUGUAAGCUCUUUAAGGUGGGAAUUCAUCAUUCUGAGUAUAUAUGAGAAGCCUAAUGUGGUUCAGGGUGUGUUUUAAUAUUUAACAGCAGAUCAUUUUCUGCAGAUGUUAUAGAAUUUAUUGUCAUGAUAUGCGUUGUUAUUUAUUACAUAUCUCAACAAUACAGUAGACGCAGACCAACAGGCAAUUUGGGCAAUUAAUCAUAGUAUUUUCCAAAGAUCUAAAACAUUCUGUGCUUUUGGAAGGUAUUUCUGAGGCUUUCCAGGUAGUGCACCAUUAACACAUGACGGGGCAUGUUUCAGAGGUUCAUUAACACAUGUUGUAGAUGUGCAGCCUCAUGCAUUCAGCCACCUGAGGCAUGCAUUAAUGGACCAUUAAAACAUGCCCAGGAGUGUCUUAAUGCUAUUACAGUGUGGCUCUGCAAUUUUUAAUUCAGCUUUUUUAUAAAACGAUUCUUUUCCAAAAUACAAUUUUUACUAUAUUGCAAAACCUCUACUCAGAAAAGAAAGAGGUAUUGUGACCUAAGAUUAAGAAGGCACCUGGACAUGGAUAUAAAUACCUUUUUUUCUACCAUUUUAAUACAUUUGAUUUUGAUUUUAUAUUGUUUUAUAAAUAGCAUAGUCCUAAGGCCUGAUUCACGUUUUUGCUGACCUAUCUUCCCACUGCUCAGGAAAUGUAAAAGAGUCUUAAAGUGCCAUAAAUGUAAAUUGCAUCCCCAGACUACUUAGCUUAGUUGCUAAUUUCAAUAGACAUUUCUAGGUUUCUAGGUGAGUAACUCUUGAACAGCUUUGGAUUUCUGUGGAGAAAAAAACAAAACUGGAAACCCAAGCAGUUUGACAAAUAAGUUUUGCUGUAGAAGGCUAAAACUAGGAAAGGGAAAAGGGGUUAUACCACAGGUGGACAAGCUGCUCACACCUUCAGUAACGUGCUGUUACAGAUCACAGUUUCACAUUCAGUUACACAUCUCAACCUUGGCUGAAUUCAUUCUAAAAUAAUCAACUAUCCAUUAUUAUUCUUAUUUUAUGAUUUCCGUACGCCAGUAAUACAAAUAAUGUUAUCUUUAUUAUAAUCCAGUGAACUGCUGUCCUUGUUUUCAUAAUAAUUCCCUCAUGAGCACAAAGUGCAGGCUGUGGAGCAAACCACUUCCCCCCAUGUCAGCCUCCACUUCAUUUAAAAGUUGGGAGCAGCAUAAAGAGCUUGGAAGUGCUUGAACCAGCUGAAGAAAAUUUCUUUAAUGAUAGUGCCCUGAAAGAAGGCCAUAGGCCACACUUCAAAAAAUUCACCAUCUGACCCAAAACAAAAUAUUAUUUCAGGUCAAUUUUAACAUUGCUUUUAGAUUUUGCUUUUAUGUAUGUGUUUAUUACUGCUGGCCAUCUCAUUUAAUGUGUGACAGCCAGCAGUCAUGUUGAAAUGAUGUAUUGCAACACAUUGCUCAAAAAAGAUUGUAAUUAUAUAUCAGAGCAUUUUUUUUUCCAUGUUUCUUUCAAAAAAAGCUAUUUAAGAAAAUUCUUUUCCUCUUUCUAAAUUAGCUUUUUGACAGAAAAAGUUGCUGUGAAACUCCAUAUUUGGGCUAGUGUAGCUUAGAGCCGUGUAUUCAUCAUCAUUAUCAUAAUAAUAGCAUUACACCAUUAUUUUACAUACUCUUCCUCCUCUAACAUAUAUAAGUACAGUGCACUGUAAUUUGUAAAUACUGUGCUUUCAAUCAGCAGUGCUUGAGCAGGAGCUUCAGAAUAAGGUUGGGUCUAACCAAAGCAUCAUCAUAGGCUAUAAUAUGCUCAUCGACCAUGGGUCCUCCAUGUUCACCAGGGCACAGGCAGAAUGUGGGAUGAUAUGUGGCUGAAUCAUUGGUGGGAAAUUGCAAGGAUCUGGGAAGCUCUUCUGAGAGCUGUGUUGUUUGUCAGUCUUGGAGAAGGAAGAUCUGAGCAAGAGCCUUAGUUCGAUGAUCCUCAACUUUAUACUUGAGAUCUGAGGGCUUCUCUUCUGUGUUGUCCUUCCCCAUGCCAAUUUCAAGUGUGAGGAGUUCUUAAACAAGCUUUUUUGAAAGAAAGAAGAAGGGUGGUACUUGUUUUCAUUCAUAAGCAGAGCAAGGGGAUGUAACUGGAUGUAGUGCAAAACUUCUGUCAGCAAAUAAAAGGAAAAGGCCGUUGGAGUCAGUGCAUAUGUGCUGCUCAGUGAAUAUGGCAGCAUUGGUGGCUGUCACCUUCAGGUUGAGUUUGUAGUAAUUACGUUUUCCAGUCAUAUGGAAAUCCCUCAAAAUUACACAUGUGCAGAAACUUCUCAUGUUGUAUAUUUUCACAGGGAAUUCUAUAUACAUAUGAUCUGCAAAGAACUUGUAUUAAUUUAAAACUAUUUGAAGACAAUGUUUGCUUGGAGCAAGAAUUAGAGUCAGUACUAGUUAAGCACAUACAACUAGGAACUGUGGGAUAUAGAGUUUAAGCCUGUAGCUGCCAGAAUUAAAUCUAAUUCAUCGUUAAACACUUCAUCUUCCUCUACAGCAUAGGUAAAAGGUCAUACACUCCAAAAAUAUGAUCCAGAAAGGGAUAAUGUGGAGAGGGAAAUCCAGAUCUAAUAGGCUUUGUAAUUCCCUCUUCUGGGGAGAACUAUGUCACUGAUACAAUUUGGACUCUCUUCUGGCAAGUAGUAAUAGUAGCUGAUGUUAAACUUUCAACAAUCACUGGCUUUGCUGAUGUGUCGGGCCAAAAAAAAAACCUACGUUGUUUUGAGAAAUUUGUUUUGGCGAUGCAGACCAACAAACAAAAUGAUGAUAUUUUCUUCUAGAAGGAAAAUGAAUUGGUGUUUAAACAUAAAUUCUGGCUGGUAACAGAGAAACAGCAGAAGAGGUUGUAAUGCAAACAAUUAAAGAUCUUUCUAAUCUAUAAUUCAUGUCUCAGCAUCUGCUGGAUCUGACCAUAAGGAACAUCUAAAAGAUUUUCUUCCUGCCCCAUUGGUUCUCCCAUUCUUUCACAAUUCAGUUUAUGUAUUGUGAUGGAUUCUGUGCUCAGUAUUGACUGAGAACCUGACCUGGCUCCUGUUGAAGACGGUGGCAGGACUCCCAUUGACUUUGACGGCAGAUGGAUCUGAAGUGGAAUGUGAAUGAGCAGAUAUGUUCUAUAUUAAAGAAGAGCAUCGGAUGAUUUUGGGAAGAAAAAAAAGAAAAAAAAAGUAAUGCUUGAAAGUUUUCAGAGCAGAUGAGAAAUAAACAGACCAAGCACCUCAGCCUGGAAUGUCAUCUUCAUCUGUGAAUCAGAAUUUGGACCUGCUGCUGAUGAGUUGGAAAAGCAAUUGUGGCAUGAACAAUGAGACUUUGGGUUGACAGCCUAGGGGAGCUAUUCGACAGCUUCACAGACAGGCUUCCCAAUGUAAAUGAAGAUGAGAAAGUGCAUGAAAAAUCGAUCAUGCACUAGAGACAACACUUACUUCAUUAACUACCUUCAGCACUAACCUCUUGAACACUGUUAGUAAACCUAUUAUGUCACAGCUGAGAUGCAGCUGAAGAUUUUGCUUUGAGAAUUUAAACAAAGCUAUAUAAGAACACAAACCAGAUUAAAAAGUAGUACCAUAUAAGUCAACUGCUAGUUGCUGACAUCAGUAAAAUAUUGUCUGUUACUAUCAGGAAACAUGGGAACAAUGAUUAAAAUUUCCUAAUAUUGCAGUAAAAUUUUUAGCUGUUACCUGGAAAAAGAAAAAAAAAAAAAAAGAGAGAGAGUAUUCUGCAGUGUGUGGAAUGCAAAUAUUUCUAAUAAGUGCUGUCAUGUGACAGGGAUACUAACAAGAACUUCUUAGAGCUGAGGAUCUGUUUUUGGAAUUUGCUCAGGUAAGUAAUGAAAAUACAUAUAUAGAUAUACAGUCAUACAAGGGCUUCUCCAAAAGUAAUGCCUCCUGUUUUAAUAUGUUGACCCACUAUGUCAGAGGCAGAUAUUGGUGGUAUAACAGUAGAGGUUGAAGCUUCCCACCAGUAUCCCAUUACAUGCUGUUGCUGUGUGCCAUAUAGCAGCAGAAGGGCAGUCUGACGGAAUGGCAUCUGACAUGCAAGUGCAUAUGAAGCGAAUGAGUGUCAUGAGUUUCCUCCAUGUGGAAAUCACUGCACCCACUGACAUUCAUUGACACAUGCUGUGAUUGUCCAUGGAGACUGAAAGUAAAUGUGAACACAGUGAGGUGGUGAGUGGUGCAUUUCAGCAGUAGCAACGGCAACAGUGGGUCGUCUCUACUGAUGUAGAUUGUUAUGAGCGUAGCAUGCAGGCUCUUGUUCAUUGUUGGUGAAAAUGCAUAGCUAAUGGCAGUCACUGUAUUAAAAAAAAACAGAGCUUUGUAGUUGAGACUUUGUCUAUCAAUAGUUUUGUUGUGCUUUUUGUAUCUGCUGUUGUUUCCAUAGAAAUAAAUAGAAGGCAUUACUUUCAGAGUGACCUAUUUAAAUUUAAUACGGGAACACUGAGUCUUUAUGGCAUUCAAAUGGAGAUAAGUGAUCUAAAUUCUUUU
Molecule: long non-coding RNA, 11959 nt
Organism: Lagopus muta (rock ptarmigan)
Lineage: Eukaryota; Metazoa; Chordata; Aves; Galliformes; Phasianidae
Exons: 12
Source: RefSeq, a predicted model, not a curated record